RNAcentral lists this long non-coding RNA (2724 nucleotides) under Homo sapiens (human). RNAcentral describes it as "HSALNT0338733". The record is from RNAcentral. Lineage: Eukaryota; Metazoa; Chordata; Mammalia; Primates; Hominidae.
GAGGCGGCACCGAUCCGGACAGAUGAGGGCCAGGCAGCAGCAUCCUGGCAUGACCGCAGCAGGAGGGAGGAGCCAACGGUGCCACGUGGUUCCCAAAUGCCAAGCAUAGCCUGAGAGAGGAGGAAACAGGAGAGAAGGGGAGGCCGGGGGGCCGCUUGGUGCCCAAGAUUUCUCAGACGUCCCAGAGCCCUGACUCUGCUGCCAGCUUGCUUUACAGUGAGGCCAAGGAAGGAGCCACGGAGGGUGUGCUGGCCCUAGGAGCAGGAUUCCUGUGUGUUCACUAAGCUUGCAGCAUCAAGAAGCCACCAGCCAGCAUGGACAUGUGAGCGUCAGAGGGAGGGAAAACAAAACACUCAUGGGAAGAAGCGGGACCAGGCUCCAGCCGCAAAGUCGCCCUUCAUGCUUCACGCAAGAAAAAGGCCUCAGAGGGAGCUGUGAGGACAUGAUCAAAUCACUGUGCCAGCUGGUCACCAGGGGGCCACCACUCCAAGGAACCCUGAAGAUGGUGGACAGGAAUUAGGAAGUGUUGAACCGUCUUAGAUGGAAUGCUGUUCAUAUGAAAGCAAGACGCUCUAUCCUAGAAUUGCUUUUAUCAUUUGGUUCUAUUGCCACUUUUCGAAAAUUGUGUGACGUGAAGCAUGCAGAAAUAAAAAGAAGUAACACAGAAAUUCUCAGGUCCAUCAGCCAAGGGGGCCUUGCUGACUGCAGGCGGAGGUCUCAGGCCCGCCCAGCCCUGGCGUCUCCGCAGGGCUCUGACCCCGAGACAGCUCCACAGCCCCCUCUAUUCUCCCCCGGCGCUCACAAUUCAACAACAUGGACUUCAUAUUUGCCAUUUGACAACUUGCCUUUUUCUGAUAGGGCUCCAGUUGUGAAGUUAGCAAGAGCCUGAAGGCUUUUUUAAAAGGAAAGAAAAAAUGUAUAUUUUUCUAAAAAAAAAAAAUUCUAAGGGUGGUAAAUUCCCUUAAGGUAAAUCUGCUUCCCAGCUAAUGCAAGAGCUGCAAGCAGCUGGGAAAUGGGUGUUGUAUUGUCUAGCCUGGCUCUGGGAACGGAUUCAUAGCUGCUGCCUGGAAGGUUAAAAUGUGCAGAGGAUUCGUGGAGAACAAGGAGAAAACCAAGACAGUCAGUUCGGUUUGGUUCCUGAGGGGGAAGCCCUGGGCUCAUCAUGGACGCCUAGAGGAGCGGGCGGCAGAGGCAGCUCCAGGCAGCUCCCGAGGGGAACCUGGGUAUUUGGAAAUCCUGGGGGAGUAGCUGAGGGAGGUGAUUUAGAAGGUGAUACUUUGGGCCUCGUGUCUUUUCUUUGGCUCUCUGUUGCUGGAGCAGAAAGACAGAGCAGUCUCAGGCAUGCUUCCCUCCUCUCCUGGGCCAGCCUCGGAUCAGCUGAGAGCCACAGCAGGGAGGGUGGGAAACCCAGGCUGGUGUUCCUGAGACAGCUCCUCCCGCCUGCCCCUGUCUCCUUCUGCUGAGUAGAAACAAAGCACUUCUCCCCACGUGGCAACGUAAAUCAGGGAUGUGUCUUCAUCUCUAGUGAUAAAUAGGACUUUGUUUCAUUCAUUCUGAGGUGUUUAGAAAAGAACUGUUAAAAAAAAAAAAGCCAGAUUGUCCCUCAAAUUGUUCCUUCAAUGCCUGGACACCUUUCUCCAGCCCUAGCAGGGCAAACGUCUGGGGAUGUCAGACCGGACAGGAAAACCUUGAACUCCUUCAGAGCAGGAGGCUUUCCAGAAUUCCAGGACGUCCCAACUCUCCCGCCGUGAGUGGCAGCUCAGCAGACCCGGAAGGAAGUGCGACCACGACUUUCCGCACUGAGGUCCUCAGCAAAUGUUGAUCCACGGGCUCCACGGCGCAGCCAGCACCGACUUCUCCACCCACUGGCCACCGAACCCUGUUCUCGCCAAGGCCUCCUUUGUCCACGCCUCCGAGGAGCUCGGCCCGGUGGUCACAAGUGCAGCCAAGAAUGAGGGGCUAUUUGGGUCAGGCAAGCCUGCCAUGUUUCGGGAAAGUUGCCCCGGGGUUAGGAAACGCUCCAUCUGAGGGAAAUGGAGCUCCCCACCGGUUCUUGGAGCCCAGGCGUCGCCCACCCUGCUGGUUUUCUCUUUGGUGGGAUUGUCUUUGAAUUCCAUUGUUGGCCUAGUUUCCUGAGCCAAACCUCAAACAGCUUGGCUGAGAGAGCACAGAACAGGAAAAUCAGCUCGGAGAGAGGCUGGUCAUAAGGAAAUAGUCACUCGGCCGAUGACGUCCACAGUCCCCUGACGUCUGUCCCCAGCAUUGAGCAGCGGAAGCCACAGAUUCUUGAAGCGGGAAUUCAAGUCCUCAGGCAAAGGCGCAUUGUGACUGUCUGAUCAGCAUUUCCUAUUGAUCUCUUUACAAAUUACCUUUGUUCUCUAAGGCCAGGCAGGCAUCUGGAGGCUGGAGCGGGAGGGCCAUCGGGUGAGGCCCCGGCCAGCGCCUCAGACUGCCAGAGAGCCUCAGCCCCGCCCCACACCGUCCCAGGUCCCUGCCUGGAGGAUCUGGAGCUGGGGACUGCUGUGAGGUGGACACGGUGCAGCUGAUUCCAGGGCGCCCUGAGCUGAAGCAACACCGUGCAACCAGUCGCAGGUGCUCAGGACGAGCCGUACCAAGAGGGACGUUCCUCUGCCAGAUCAAACGUGGGGUGGUUGUUCGGCCCAAGGCUGCCCGUGCUGUUCCCUGCACCCCAGUAAGCCAGGUUAUGGGGUGAGCUCUGGCCCU